AGAGUUUGAUCCUGGCUCAGGACGAACGCUGGCGGCGUGCCUAAUGCAUGCAAGUCGAGCGGGCUACGAUCUUCGGAUUGUAGCUUAGCGGCGAACGGGUGAGUAACACGUAGGUGAUCUACCCUUCAGAGGAGGACAACCUCAGGAAACUGAGGCUAAACCUUCAUACGUUCACUGGUAGGGAUACUGGUGAAGAAAGAGUUACCCCUAGAGGGUAGCUGCUGAAGGAUGAGCCUGCGGCCCAUCAGGUAGUUGGUGAGGUAACGGCUCACCAAGCCGAAGACGGGUAACCGGUCUGAGAGGAUGUCCGGUCACACUGGGACUGAGACACGGCCCAGACUCCUACGGGAGGCAGCAGCAGGGAAUCUUGGGCAAUGGGCGAAAGCCUGACCCAGCGACGCCGCGUGGAGGAAGAAGUCCUUCGGGGCGUAAACUCCUGGACUGGGGGACGAGGAAGGACGGUACCCCAGUAGAAAGGGACGGCUAACUACGUGCCAGCAGCCGCGGUAAAACGUAGGUCCCGAGCGUUGUUCGGAUUCACUGGGUGUAAAGGGCGCGUAGGUGGUUGUCUGUGUCUCAUGUGAAAACUCAGGGCUCAACUCUGAGAUUGCGUGGGAAACUAGGCAGCUAGAGGACGGUAGAGGGGAGUGGAAUUCCCGGUGUACCGGUAAAAUG
Molecule: ribosomal RNA, 675 nt
Filed under: uncultured bacterium
Lineage: Bacteria
Description: bacterial SSU rRNA
Rfam family: Bacterial small subunit ribosomal RNA
Source: RNAcentral